UCUCAGUUUGCACUGGCAGUCUCGUUAGAGUUCCCGGCAUGACCCGCUGGCAACUAACGAUAGGGGUUGCGCUCGUUAUAGGACUUAACCUGACACCUCACGGCACGAGCUGACGACAACCAUGCAGCACCUUGUAAAUUGUCUUGCGAAAGUAAUGUUUCCAAAACGGUCAAUCUACAUUUAAGCCCUGGUAAGGUUCCUCGCGUAUCAUCGAAUUAAACCACAUGCUCCACCGCUUGUGCGGGCCCCCGUCAAUUCCUUUGAGUUUCAUUCUUGCGAACGUACUCCCCAGGUGGGAUACUUAUCACUUUCGCUUAGCCACUCAACCUUGCGGUCGAACAGCUAGUAUCCAUCGUUUACGGCGUGGACUAC
RNAcentral lists this unclassified non-coding RNA (372 nucleotides) under uncultured Flavobacteriaceae bacterium. Its description in RNAcentral is "contains 16S-23S intergenic spacer region". Lineage: Bacteria; Pseudomonadati; Bacteroidota; Flavobacteriia; Flavobacteriales; Flavobacteriaceae. The record is from RNAcentral.